UGCAGUUUGAGUGGUGAAGGUGCUCCGACAAUGUGGUUGGAUUCUAACAUCUGCCGAGCUGGGAUUCGAACAAGGACUUCAGUUGUACAUUUUAAUAUUCUGGAUAAAAGUUAAAUAUAUUAGGAUACUACAGGUGG
Non-coding RNA from Chiloscyllium plagiosum (whitespotted bambooshark), 137 nucleotides. NCBI's taxonomy places the organism in Eukaryota, Metazoa, Chordata, Chondrichthyes, Orectolobiformes, Hemiscylliidae. The record is from RefSeq and is a predicted model, not a curated record.